CGGAAUUUUAGAUAAUGGAGGGAACUCUGAUCUAGCGACGCCGCGUGCAGGAAGAAGGUCUUCGGAUUGUAAACUGCUGUGGUAAGGGAAAAAUGCUAUGUAGAGUGGAAAGCUACAUAGAGGGAUGGUACCUUACUAGAAAGCCCCGGCUAACUACGUGCCAGCAGCCGCGGUAAUACGUAGGGGGCGAGCGUUACCCGGAAUCACUGGGCGUAAAGGGAGCGUAGGUGGCCUAACAUGUCAACUGUGAAAACCCGGAGCUCAACUCCGGACUUGCAGUUGAAACUGGUAGGCUUGAGGACGGUAGAGGAAGACGGAACUGCCAGUGUAGGGGUAAAAUCCUUAGAUAUUGGCAGGAACGCCGGUGACGAAGGUGGUUUUCUGGGCCGGUUCUGACACUGAUGCUCGAAAGCCAGGGGAGCGAACGG
Molecule: ribosomal RNA, 428 nt
Filed under: uncultured bacterium
Lineage: Bacteria
Description: bacterial SSU rRNA
Rfam family: Bacterial small subunit ribosomal RNA
Source: RNAcentral